GACGAACGCUGGCGGCGUGCUUAACACAUGCAAGUCGAACGGUGAAGCGCCUUCCUCUUUGGUGGGUGUGGAUGAGUGGCGAACGGGUGAGUAACACGUGAGUAACCUGCCCCCUUCUACUGGCUAACCGCAUGAAAGUGUGGCUAAUACGGGAGAUUCUGGGUCUGUCGCAUGAUGGGUCUGGGAAAGAUAUUGUUUCGGUGGGGGAUGGGCUCGCGGCUUAUCAGGUUGUUGGUGGGGUGGUGGCCUACCAAGGCGGUGACGGGUAGCCGGGCGGGGAGGGUGGACGGCCACGGUGGGGAGGAGACGCGGAGCAGACUCCGAGGGGAGGCAGCAGGGGGGAAUAGAGCACGAGGGGCGGAAGGCUGAAGCAGCGACGCGGGGUGAGAGAUGGUGGCCGUCGGGUUGAGAACCUCUUUCGCGAGGGAAGGGGGCUUGGUUAGUUUGUGGGUGGGUUGACGUUAGCUGGAGAAGAAGCGCCGGCUAACUACGUG
This 494-nucleotide ribosomal RNA is filed under the name uncultured bacterium. RNAcentral's name for it is "partial 16S ribosomal RNA". It matches the Rfam family "Bacterial small subunit ribosomal RNA", at positions 28 to 507 of the family's 1533-position model. The record is from RNAcentral.